This is a long non-coding RNA of Pipistrellus kuhlii (Kuhl's pipistrelle), 852 nucleotides long. RefSeq lists it as uncharacterized. The record is from RefSeq and is a predicted model, not a curated record. The transcript is spliced from 2 exons. Lineage: Eukaryota; Metazoa; Chordata; Mammalia; Chiroptera; Vespertilionidae.
AAAAAAAAUCAAUAAAAAUAUAUUUUAAAAAAUAAAAACCUUUGACAAAGCAUGAGCUUCUAUCUCUUCUGAGCAUAGUUUUUGAUAAAUCAUAAAGCUACAUCAUUGUAUUUGCUGUGCAACAUGAGCACCACCACCCUCUUCUCCCUCUCCCUUCUCUCUUCAGUAAAGACAUUUAAAGACAAUAAUUGACUGGUGCUGUAACAGUGGGGAUUGUAACCCACCCCACCAUUCUUUUGACAUUGUUUCUGUAAAUGAUGACUCUACUAAGUAGCUUGUAGAAAAACAGCAUGUUUGUAAAAGAAUCUUAGGAAUUAAUUUCAGAAGAUACAGACUCUGACCUUUAGUCAUUGCAGUUCUGAGAAAUUUUCUGACCUUCAGCCAUGGAACCAGGAUGACAGAGACCAGGAUAACGCAUACCAGACUGUCACUUGACUGAUUCUUUGAGAUUCCUCAUAGGAGUGGAUGGCGCUGACCUGUACGCAGAGAAUUUUUAGCGGCCUCCCUUUGUUUCUUUGUUCUUCUUUGCCUCUCCCGCCUUAUAAAAACCUCUGCCUGCACUGAGAUAGGGAGUGGGCUUUCUGAUCAGGGUCCCCCAUCACCUGAGGUGACCGGCACUUGAAUAAACCUCUCCUUUCUCACCAGCAUUUGUCUCGGGAGUCUGGUUUUCUCUGGCAGCAGGUAGCCAGACUUGGGUUCUGGGUACAGUGGGAGGGGAAGUGGCUGGCAUGUAGGCAAACGAGAUGGGCCCUGUGUUAAAAACGGAUGAAGCUUAGUGUAUGUGGAGCAUUCUUAUAUUAUUCUCUCCACUUAGGUGUCUGUGUGAAACUAUCCUUAAUAAACAAAAAUGAG